GAUGAACGCUGGCGGCGUGCCUAAUACAUGCAAGUCGAGCGAACAGACGAGGAGCUUGCUCCUCUGGCGUUAGCGGCGGACGGGUGAGUAACACGUGGAUAACCUACCUAUAAGACUGGGAUAACUUCGGGAAACCGGAGCUAAUACCGGAUAAUAUAUUUAACCGCAUGGUUCAAUAGUGAAAGACGGUUUUGCUGUCACUUAUAGAUGGAUCCGCGCCGCAUUAGCUAGUUGGUAAGGUAACGGCUUACCAAGGCAACGAUGCGUAGCCGACCUGAGAGGGUGAUCGGCCACACUGGAACUGAGACACGGUCCAGACUCCUACGGGAGGCAGCAGUAGGGAAUCUUCCGCAAUGGGCGAAAGCCUGACGGAGCAACGCCGCGUGAGUGAUGAAGGUCUUCGGAUCGUAAAACUCUGUUAUUAGGGAAGAACAAAUGUGUAAGUAACUAUGCACGUCUUGACGGUACCUAAUCAGAAAGCCACGGCUAACUACGUG
This 497-nucleotide ribosomal RNA is filed under the name uncultured bacterium. RNAcentral describes it as "partial 16S ribosomal RNA". It matches the Rfam family "Bacterial small subunit ribosomal RNA", at positions 28 to 507 of the family's 1533-position model. The record is from RNAcentral.